RNAcentral lists this ribosomal RNA (437 nucleotides) under uncultured bacterium. RNAcentral's name for it is "bacterial SSU rRNA". It matches the Rfam family "Bacterial small subunit ribosomal RNA", at positions 335 to 758 of the family's 1533-position model. The record is from RNAcentral.
ACUCCUACGGGAGGCAGCAGUGGGGAAUAUUGCACGAAUGGGCGCAAGCCUGAUGCAGCCAUGCCGCGUGUAUGAAAGAAGGCCCUUCGGGUUGUAAAGUACUUUCAGCAGUGAGGAAGGUGGUAGUGUUAAAUAGCACUAUCAUUUGACGUUAGCUGCAGGAAGAAGCACCGGCUAACUCCGUGCCAGCAGCCGCGGUAAUACGGAGGGUGCGAGCGUUAAUCGGAAUUACUGGGCGUAAAGCGCAUGCAGGUGGUUUGUUAAGUCAGAUGUGAAAGCCCGGGGCUCAACCUCGGAAUUGCAUUUGAAACUGGCAGACUAGAGUACUGUAGAGGGGGGUAGAAUUUCAGGUGUAGCGGUGAAAUGCGUAGAGAUCUGAAGGAAUACCGGUGGCGAAAGGCGGCCCCCUGGACAGAUACUGACACUCAGAUGCGAAA